RNAcentral lists this ribosomal RNA (798 nucleotides) under uncultured bacterium. RNAcentral describes it as "bacterial SSU rRNA". It matches the Rfam family "Bacterial small subunit ribosomal RNA", at positions 59 to 870 of the family's 1533-position model. The record is from RNAcentral.
CAGUCGAACGAGCGAGAGAGAGCUUGCUUUCUUGAGCGAGUGGCGAACGGGUGCGUAACGCGUGAGGAACCUGCCUCAAAGAGGGGGACAACAGUUGGAAACGACUGCUAAUACCGCAUAAGCCCACGGCUCGGCAUCGAGCAGAGGGAAAAGGAGUAAUCCGCUUUGAGAUGGCCUUGCGUCCGAUUAGCUAGUUGGUGAGGUAACGGCCCACCAAGGCGACGAUCGGUAGCCGGACUGAGAGGUUGAACGGCCACAUUGGGACUGAGACGCGGCCCAGACUCCUACGGGAGGCAGCAGUGGGGAAUAUUGCACAAUGGGGGAAACCUUGAUGCAGCGACGCCGCGUGGAGGAAGAAGGUCUUCGGAUUGUAAACUCCUGUUGUUGAGGAAGAUAAUGACGGUACUCAACAAGGAAGUGACGGCUAACUACGUGCCAGCAGCCGCGGUAAAACGUAGGUCACAAGCGUUGUCCGGAAUUACUGGGUGUAAAGGGAGCGCAGGCGGGAAGACAAGUUGGAAGUGAAAUCUAUGGGCUCAACCCAUAAACUGCUUUCAAAACUGUUUUUCUUGAGUAGUGCAGAGGUAGGCGGAAUUCCCGGUGUAGCGGUGGAAUGCGUAGAUAUCGGGAGGAACACCAGUGGCGAAGGCGGCCUACUGGGCACCAACUGACGCUGAGGCUCGAAAGUGUGGGUAGCAAACAGGAUUAGAUACCCUGGUAGUCCACACCGUAAACGAUGAUUACUAGGUGUUGGAGGAUUGACCCCUUCAGUGCCGCAGUUAACACAAUAAGUAAUCC